RNAcentral lists this ribosomal RNA (402 nucleotides) under uncultured bacterium. Its description in RNAcentral is "bacterial SSU rRNA". It matches the Rfam family "Bacterial small subunit ribosomal RNA", at positions 355 to 749 of the family's 1533-position model. The record is from RNAcentral.
UGGGGAAUUUUGGACAAUGGGCGAAAGCCUGAUCCAGCCAUGCCGCGUGAGUGAAGAAGGCCUUCGGGUUGUAAAGCUCUUUUAGUCGGAAAGAAAGAGUCGCAAUGAAUAAUUGUGAUUUAUGACGGUACCUACAGAAAAAGCACCGGCUAACUACGUGCCAGCAGCCGCGGUAAUACGUAGGGUGCGAGCGUUAAUCGGAAUUACUGGGCGUAAAGGGUGCGCAGGCGGUUUUGCAAGUCAGAUGUGAAAGCCCCAAGCUUAACCUGGAAAUUGCGUUUGAAACUACAAGACUAGAGUGCAGCAAAAAGAAGUGGAAUUCCAUGUGUAGCAGUGAAAUGCGUAGAGAUGUGGAAGAACACCGAUGGCAAAGGCAGCUCCCUGGGUUGACACUGACGCUCA